CGCCGAUGGAAAUCCAGGGUGGGUGCCACUGACCGUCAUGCCAUAGCACUCUGGCCUCUCUCCUUCACCAGCAGGCAGACAGGAAGGAUUCUGGCAACCAUAAAGUCUUCCCAGUGGACAUCCUCAGGCUGCGUUCCAUCCAGUGUCCAUCAAAACUCAGCACACAACGAGGUAAAGACAAGGCGGGGACCACACCUCACGGACCAGUUUAUUCUAUUAAUCAAAUAGAGAGAAAAGAAAACGCAUCCUAAAACCAACCACCACGUAAGGUGCAGUAUAAUUACAUUGCUUUCAUUGUUCAUUGUAUUUUAUACAUUUUCAAAUGUAUUGAAACCUACAGAUAUCUUUAUUUUAUUUGUUAUUAAGUCAUUCAAAUAUAACGAAGUCUAACACUAACACUGAAAAUGAAAAUGAUCAACUAAUGUUUGUAUAAAAAGGAUAAAGACACACUGCAAAUACAGCAAGGGGUAUCCCGGUUACACGAUGGUCCCAACAUUUUAGGUUUCUAAAAAUCCCAUUCUGACUAUCAACGAUCAACAAUACUUCAUCAGGUAGGUCACUCAGUUAUGAGCACGUAUAAUUGAGAAUUAUAAAAAUGUCUUGAUUGAUUAAAAAUGUAACAUACUGGAUUGCAAAGUCACAAUCUAAGUGUUUUUGAAAAUUAAUUGUUAUUUUAACUCAUGUUAUUUCACCUGUUGUGAUAAUGGCCAAUGCUGGGAAUUUGAAAGAAAAUUAAAUUUCCUCUGUUAAUAUCUAGAAAUAAUAACAUGUCUGGUUGUUAGAGAGUAAGACUGAUACCAUAUCAGCCAUGUAUUCCUCUCUUAGUGAUCCCUAUGGAGUUGCUCCCUCUAGUGGAGUAAGGGGAGCUUGUUUAAUCACUCUAGGGAUCAAUCUCACAUUACUUGUUCACAGUGCAGCUACAGUGCUAUGAACACGCAUGUUUGUGUCAAGCAAAUAGGUACAGAUGUGUACCCCACUCAAUACAACUGUAAAACUAUACAGGGUUCCAGAAUAAUACAAACUAUCUAAAAGCCUU
Molecule: long non-coding RNA, 1036 nt
Organism: Pseudoliparis swirei
Lineage: Eukaryota; Metazoa; Chordata; Actinopteri; Perciformes; Liparidae
Exons: 2
Source: RefSeq, a predicted model, not a curated record